RNAcentral lists this long non-coding RNA (1429 nucleotides) under Homo sapiens (human). RNAcentral describes it as "HSALNT0326478". Lineage: Eukaryota; Metazoa; Chordata; Mammalia; Primates; Hominidae. The record is from RNAcentral.
CUCUAAUCAGCAAAGGGGCUGUCGGCAGGCGAUGUACAAAUGAAAGCGCGCUUUCUAAAUUUCCAAAGCACUAAAGGGAGAGAAAUGCGCAAUUACUGUGGGAUUCGCCCAGAGGAGCAGCCUCAGGAGUUGAAGGGGAUCCUGUCCCUCCCAGAGGAAAGCUCACGAUUGGAUUGGAACUUCUAGCGACUGCCUGAGGUCAUGGAUUCAGGAGCCCAGGAAUAAACCUAAAGCUUUUUUUCCUAACCGUUCAGAUCGAAGGACUUUCGAGGUCCUCCUCAGUUCCACUUUUGCACACCUUAAGCUGCCCCCGUCGACUUGGCAACGUGUCCCGCGGUAUUGUUCCUUUCAUAUUUUCUGUUUCUUAACAGGCAAACGCACAUAAGGGUCCCCAGAUGCAGCGAAUGAACAGGUUUUCCUCGUAAAAAUGAUGGAGGUGAAGGUGGGGAUGGGGGUGCUCUCCUCACUCCGGAAUCUGAAGCGGGAGAGAGCUGGAUAAACCGCCGAGAUGACCUAAGUGGUCUGAGGCGACCAGCAGCGCGUCCACAGUGGAGGACCCAGGCCUCGGCUCAGACAUGGCCUGCUCCGCUCUUUCCCUAGGCUCCUCUGCAACAUCAGGCAACCAAGGCCUGCGCUCUCCUUUUCCUGAGGAGACUCCCUGGAACCUUCAAGAACCCCCCGACAGCCACCAGGAUACCCGGUCUGAAUGGUUUCCUACCAAGAAAGACCCCGAAGACCUGCAGUUCUGUCCAGAAACGAGUUUUUAGGGUCACUUGAAUUUGAGCUGCUGCGAGGGCGGUGCUUUAGGGAGCAGAGUUCAAAGAGGAAUUCCUCAGGACCCUAGGCCAGGUCCGCGUUAAAGGGCGCCUUACAAACCUCCUCUCCCCACACUCCCCCGCAGCCCCUUCCCCAACGUUUAAGGCACCGGAUCUUGAGAAGCAAAUCUAGUGCCCAGCUUCAAAUCCCCGCCUUGGAAAAGUACAAAGAGAAAACUGAUUUUUCAAAUCCCAAAGCCCUUUCCUUUUAAGCAACUUGGAAAAACUCAGCUAUAAACGCUUUCUCCUCUUAUGCUAAAAUUGAAAACUUAUAGAUUUUAGAUGGAAUGAAGAGAAGAUAUAUUCCUUUUCCCUUUAAAUAGCCACAUUUCAAAUUGUGCCAGGCAGCAAUUUCUGCGAAAAAGGAGUGGCGGUUGGGAUUGUUUGGGAGAUGGAGUUUUAUUUGUUCCCAUUUAUUUUGUUUUAUUUUUGUUUUAUUUUUUUCUUUGAGUUUCUUUGUUAUUUUGAGAUUCAUCUAAGAGACUCAGAAUUCCACUCUGAAUAAAGCACUUUUUGUUGUUUCAAAAUUUCAAACUGACAUAAGUGUUGGAUCAUCAGUUUUCCCUUUGUCUGCCCUAGUUGUAAAUAAUGGCUUUGAGAUUAGCUAAUUAAGG